GAUGAACGCCGGCGGCGUGCCUAAUACAUGCCAGUCGAGCGAACGGACGAGAAGCUUGCUUCUCUGAUGUUAGCGGCGGACGGGUGAGUAACACGUGGAUAACCUACCUAUAAGACUGGGAUAACUUCGGGAAACCGGAGCUAAUACCGGAUGAUAUUUUGAACCGCAUGGUUCAAAAGUGAAAGACGGUCUUGCUGUCACUUAUAGAUGGAUCCGCGCUGCAUUAGCUAGUUGGUAAGGUAACGGCUUACCAAGGCAACGAUGCAUAGCCGACCUGAGAGGGUGAUCGGCCACACUGGAACUGAGACACGGUCCAGACUCCUACGGGAGGCAGCAGUAGGGAAUCUUCCGCAAUGGGCGAAAGCCUGACGGAGCAACGCCGCGUGAGUGAUGAAGGUCUUCGGAUCGUAAAACUCUGUCAUUAGGGAAGAACAUAUGUGUAAGUAACUGUGCAUAUCUUGACGGUACCUAAUCAGAAAGCCACGGCUAACUACGUG
This 497-nucleotide ribosomal RNA is filed under the name uncultured bacterium. RNAcentral's name for it is "partial 16S ribosomal RNA". It matches the Rfam family "Bacterial small subunit ribosomal RNA", at positions 28 to 507 of the family's 1533-position model. The record is from RNAcentral.